Molecule: unclassified non-coding RNA, 3047 nt
Filed under: Hevea brasiliensis (rubber tree)
Lineage: Eukaryota; Viridiplantae; Streptophyta; Magnoliopsida; Malpighiales; Euphorbiaceae
Source: RNAcentral
UUCUUCUUCUUCUUCUUCUUCUAGCAAUAACAAUAAUAAUAAUACUGGUAUUAACUCUAAUUCUGUUCUUGUGGCGCUUCUUGACUCGCAUUAUACUGAAUUGGCUGAACUCGUUGAAAAGGCUCUUCUUCUUCAGACCCUUGAGGAAGCUGUCGGCAACCACAAUAUCACCAUUUUUGCGCCCAGAAAUGAAGCCUUGGAGCGUCAACUUGACCCUGAGUUUAAGCGUUUCUUGCUCGAACCUGGUAAUAUCAAGUCUCUCCAGACCCUCUUGAUGUUCCAUGUAAUUCCUAAACGGGUCGGAUCCAAUGACUGGCCCACUGAAAAAUCUAAGCCUUCUAGGCAUACCACUUUGUGCAAUGAUCAUCUUCACUUAAUCAGCAAGACUUCUGGUAAGAAACUCGUUGAAUCCGCCGAGAUUAUCCGAGCCGACGACGUUAUCCGCCCCGACGGUGUUAUCCACGGGAUCGAGCGCCUUCUUAUCCCGCAAUCUGUACAAGAAGACUUCAACCGGAGGAGAAAUCUCAGAUCCAUAUCCGCAGUGCUACCAGAGGGUGCGCCGGAGGUAGAUCCCAGAACCCACCGUUUGAAGAAACCAGCAGCACCUGUGCCGGCUGGGGCACCGCCAGUGCUACCCAUUUACGAUGCCAUGGCUCCAGGUCCUUCUCUGGCUCCGGCGCCGGCUCCAGGCCCCGGCGGACCUCACCAUCACUUUGACGGUGAAAGCCAGGUCAAGGACUUCAUCCAGACACUAUUACAUUACGGUGGGUACAAUGAACUGGCGGAUAUCUUAGUGAACUUAACCUCAUUGGCCACCGAAAUGGGGCGGCUGGUUUCAGAAGGAUACGUUCUCACCGUCUUGGCACCAAACGACGAAGCCAUGGCCAAGCUAACGACGGACCAGCUAAGCGAACCGGGUGCGCCGGAGCAGAUCAUUUACUACCAUAUUAUACCGGAGUACCAGACGGAAGAGAGCAUGUACAAUGCAGUAAGGAGAUUUGGGAAAAUAAAAUACGAUACGCUGCGUUUGCCUCACAAGGUCGUGGCUCAGGAGGCUGAUGGGUCGGUGAAAUUCGGAUCCGGGGAUACGUCGGCGUAUUUGUUCGAUCCAGACAUUUACACGGACGGCAGGAUUUCAGUGCAGGGAAUUGACGGAGUUUUGUUCCCGGAGGAAGAGAAAGAGACAGUUAAAAAACCGACCGCCGCCGUCAAGGUUGUCACCAAGCCCAGGAGAGGUAUGUUCUUUUUCUUGAUUCAUUAAUUUUUUCCACUUAUUUGCUUAAUUAUUAUUAAUUUGGCUAUAACGGACAAAUAUGAGCCUGUAAUUCUGUGUCGGUGCAGAUUAGGUUAGUGUGAAUAUUGGAUUAAGAUGGUUAAUCUUUUUGUUUAAGAAUAAUGAAGAUUAGUGUUAUUGCGAUAGAGAUUAGAUUAGCAAAGUUUUAGUAUAUGCGGUCAUCAUUGGUGCUUGGUGGUGGGACAGAGGGAAUACCCACUUUGCAAUUGUGUUCUUUUUAGCUUUUGAUGAGCUUGUCUAGGACUAAGCAUCCGCAACAGCUGGGCCUAGCGUGGCUCUUAAGCAUAAAAAGAACCCAAUUUCUGACUAAAAUCCUGGAUUACACCAUAUUAUUGACUAAACUUGGUGGAAGAUUAUACCUAAUCAUUUAUAAUCUGCGUUCCAAAACGGUGACGAAUUUGUCCUGUUUUUAGCAUGUUCAAGAACUUAAAUCUGUGAUCCCAAGUCAAUUUCUGCAUAAGUGCAACAGAAGCUUUGCAUGUGGAUGAAGAAGUUUCUUAAAUAAAUCUCAAUGAAUUCUAUGUUCCUUCUUGUCGCACGUACAAAAACAUGUGUGAUUGUAAUUGUAACCUGUUUAAUAGGGUUCCAUCAUGUGUUUUUGGUUCAAUGUCCAGAUCAAGAUUAGACAAGAAAAUUCCAUACUUUUAUCUCACCGACACCAAGGGUUUCGUAGUUGUGGUACACAUUCUCCUACUCCUGCCCCACUACAGCUAAGAUGCUAACAAAAGCUGGUCAAUAAUUAAGUUCAACACCUUAUUGCCAGCUGCAAUUUUUAUUUAUUUAUUAUAUGAUCUGUUCUAUCUUCUCUGUUUAGGAAACCCUAGUUUUAUAUUAAAGUGUGUGGUUAGGGCAUGGUUUGUUUAACAAUUAAUAAGCUUAAUUGGGUUGUUAAUUUUUCUUUAUUUUUUUGCUUGUUGUGGGUGGUGAUGUUGAUAUAUUGGCUGGAGUUGACUUAAAUUGUAAGGCUAAUUAAUUAUAUUUGGUAUGUGCAGGGAAGUUGAUGGAAGUAGCUUGUAGAAUGCUUGGAGCAUUUGGACAGGAUUCACAUUUCAGUACAUGUCAAUGAACCUGCACAGCUGAAAAAUAAUAGUAAAGAUGGAACCAUGAAAACAAUAGAGAAAAUGGUGAGUAUGUAAAAGACUUUGAUCUUGUUAAUUUUUUUUUACGAAUCAGAGGGUUGUUCGGCUGAUGAACACAUUGGAGGGUGAAUUUCAGGCGAAGGUCAUGGAUUCAAUAUGUGUGUGUUUCUUCAGGCGGUGAUUUUUAUUAUUAUUUUUUUGAUUGUAAUGUGCAUUGCAGGACGACUUUAUGUAAUAAAAUCACAAACAAAUGGGAUCGAUGGCUACGUUGUAUGAUUUCCCUCAGAAUCAAAUCCCACAUAAGAGAGAGAGAGAGUUUGUUGUUUAUUUUGUUAUAAUUACUGUAAUUACUUAUCAAUUUUUUUAUUAAUUUUCCUCCUUCCUUUCUUGUAUGAUUCACUGUCACUGUAUGCAUGAAUAGAACUUGGAAAAAGUAUUUUAAUCACGGGUUAUGUUCUUUUUUUGGCCUGUCUUGUGCAUCCAUUGCUUGUGAAUCAAAUUUAGAAAGAAUAUAUAUAUAUAUAUAUGUGGAAGUAGGCCUAUUCUUGGGUAAUAAGAUAAAAUUGUAGUAAUUGGGAAGGGUACAGGUUGUGCCAUGGAGAUUAAGACAGCCGGCCAAAGUAGCUGGUCCUUCACGUUGAUGCUUUUUGUUGCCAUGUAAAAAAAAUGAAUAA